Molecule: ribosomal RNA, 427 nt
Filed under: uncultured bacterium
Lineage: Bacteria
Description: partial 16S ribosomal RNA
Rfam family: Bacterial small subunit ribosomal RNA
Source: RNAcentral
UGGGGAAUAUUGGACAAUGGGCGAAAGCCUGAUCCAGCCAUGCCGCGUGUGUGAAGAAGGUCUUCGGAUUGUAAAGCACUUUAAGUUGGGAGGAAGGGCAUUAACCUAAUACGUUAGUGUUUUGACGUUACCGACAGAAUAAGCACCGGCUAACUCUGUGCCAGCAGCCGCGGUAAUACAGAGGGUGCAAGCGUUAAUCGGAAUUACUGGGCGUAAAGCGCGCGUAGGUGGUUUGUUAAGUUGGAUGUGAAAGCCCCGGGCUCAACCUGGGAACUGCAUCCAAAACUGGCAAGCUAGAGUACGGUAGAGGGUGGUGGAAUUUCCUGUGUAGCGGUGAAAUGCGUAGAUAUAGGAAGGAACACCAGUGGCGAAGGCGACCACCUGGACUGAUACUGACACUGAGGUGCGAAAGCGUGGGGAGCAAGCA